GCGGGCGUGGCGGAACUGGCAGACGCGCUGGAUUUAGGUUCCAGUGCCGCAAGGCGUGGGGGUUCGAGUCCCUUCGCCCGCACCA
Molecule: transfer RNA, 85 nt
Filed under: Rhodospirillales bacterium
Lineage: Bacteria; Pseudomonadati; Pseudomonadota; Alphaproteobacteria; Rhodospirillales
Description: tRNA-Leu
Rfam family: tRNA
About the family: Transfer RNA (tRNA) molecules are approximately 80 nucleotides in length.
Source: RNAcentral